UUGCCUUGCUACAGACCCCAAGGCCAGAUCCAGAAGGGAGUAUGACUGGGAUCAUGAAAGCAUGGACCUUGGAACACCGGGUUGGCGUCAGGUAUGAACGCUGCCCACGCACUUGCUGAUUGUUCCCGAGACUGUCCCAGGAGGGAACGGCCUGGGGUAAAAACAAGGCGAUCUGGACUGUGUCAGUGCAGUGUCUUGGGAAAGAUGGAUCUAAGAGUUUUGUAGUCUGCAGUCAGGAAUAAAAGCUGGACGCAGAGUGGACUCUGCACCUCAGUCCAAUAGAGGCUGCAGGUCCCCUGAUCCGUUGCACCAGAUUUUUCAUGUUCUCUUUUCAUUCUCGUCACUCACUCCUGGACCUUUAGGGCAACAAUUGUCUGGAGCCCAACAUUGGGCUGGAGCGCAAGACUGCUACAAGCGAAAGUGAAAAUACAGCGACGCAGAACCUGGGACGGUUAAGAGGCCUCUGAAAAUUCCCACUGACCCCAAGACCAGACCCAGAAGGGAGUAUGACUGGGAUCACGAAAGCAUGGACCUUGGAACACCGGGUCGGCGUUAGCCAUGAACACUCUCUACACACUUGCUGAUUGUUCCUGAGACUUUCCCAGAAGGGAACGGCUUGGGGUAAAAACAAGAUCUGGACUGUGUCAGUGUAGUGUCUUGGGAAAGAUAGAUCAAAGAGAGUUUUAUAGUCUGCAGUCAGGAAUGAAAGCUGGACGCAGAGUGGACUCCACCUCAGUCCAAUAGAGCCUGCAGGUCCCUGAUCCGUUGCAUCAGAUUUCGUGUUCUGUUUUCAUUCUCGUCUCUCACUCCUGGACCUUUAGGGCAACAUACUACUACUUGGAGAAAUAAACUUAACAAGAAAGUUAAAGAUA
Molecule: long non-coding RNA, 872 nt
Organism: Bubalus bubalis (water buffalo)
Lineage: Eukaryota; Metazoa; Chordata; Mammalia; Artiodactyla; Bovidae
Exons: 2
Source: RefSeq, a predicted model, not a curated record